RNAcentral lists this ribosomal RNA (253 nucleotides) under uncultured bacterium. RNAcentral describes it as "partial 16S ribosomal RNA". It matches the Rfam family "Bacterial small subunit ribosomal RNA", at positions 524 to 776 of the family's 1533-position model. The record is from RNAcentral.
UACAGGGGUCUCGAGCGUUAAUCGGAAUCACUGGGCUUAAAGGGUGCGCAGGCGGACCAGAGGGUGUUUCGUGAAAGCCCCCGGCUCAACCGGGGAACUGCGAAGCAAACCGCUGGUCUUGAGGUGGGUAGGGGUCGUUGGAACGCUCGGUGGAGCGGUGAAAUGCGUAGAUAUCGAGCGGAACGGCGAAGGUGAAGACAAGCGACUGGGCCCAUUCUGACGCUCAUGCACGAAAGCGUGGGGAUCAAACAGG